RNAcentral lists this ribosomal RNA (301 nucleotides) under uncultured bacterium. Its description in RNAcentral is "partial 16S ribosomal RNA". It matches the Rfam family "Bacterial small subunit ribosomal RNA", at positions 509 to 807 of the family's 1533-position model. The record is from RNAcentral.
CAGUAGCCACGGUAAUACGGAGGGUGCAAGCGUUAAUCGGAAUUACUGGGCGUAAAGCGCACGCAGGCGGUCUGUCAAGUCAGAUGUGAAAUCCCCGGGCUUAACCUGGGAACUGCAUUUGAAACUGGCAGGCUAGAGUCUUGUAGAGGGGGGUAGAAUUCCAGGUGUAGCGGUGAAAUGCGUAGAGAUCGGGAGGAACAUCAGUGGCGAAGGCGGCCAUCUGGGACAACACUGACGCUGAGGCACGAAAGCGUGGGGAGCAAACAGGAUUAGAUACCCGAGUAGUCCCUGUCUCUUAUAC